Non-coding RNA from Camellia sinensis, 981 nucleotides. Lineage: Eukaryota; Viridiplantae; Streptophyta; Magnoliopsida; Ericales; Theaceae. The record is from RefSeq and is a predicted model, not a curated record.
CACACACACAAUAUACACUUCUGUCUCGAGCACUAGCAACCCUCACCCCCACUCACCAUCUCGACUCACCAUCUUUGCUAACAAUUACCAUCGAACUUCCACCACCGACCAUCGCGGCUCACGCUACUGCCGCUGACCAUCGCGGCUCUCGUCACCGUCACUCACCAUCGCGGCCCCCCUCCCAACCACAUUCAGGGUGUUCAUCCUUGUGAUAGGAGGAGAAGCAUCAGUGACUAUCAAUGCCUUUUUCCAACGGUGGAUUUUUCACUGGCAAGUAUUUUGAUAUUAGUAAUGCUUACGUAAAGUGGUACUAAACAUUUGUUUGCAAUGCUAUCAUUACUAUCAAUUGAACAUAUUGAAGCAUGGUCCUAUUACAUUCAUAAUACCUUUUGACUUUGUUAGAUAGAAAGUGACGAUGGUUUAUUAUGGAAAGCCAAUAUAAAAGAGACAAAGGAAGAACUUGCAGCUAGGGGAAUGGAGUUCAUGAACUGUGUAACUUUGUCAAAACUCAAGCCUCGAUAGCCAGCUGCUUAUUAUUAUCUUACAAUGUUCAGAACUUCAAGAUACACGGUAUGUUGACACUUUCAACAAAGAGGCUAGGAAUCAAACAAACUUAUUCCAGUCACCUUGAGUUCCAUCCAUUCAUCAAACCUGCUAGUGGUGGUAAUCCAAAAUUUUUCGUUCCCACACUAGCAUCUUCUAGUGAACUGACAAUUGAUACUACAACAGAUAGUGCACAAGAAACUACAUCAAGUACUGAAAAUUUAUCAAAUCUCAUUGCCAAUAACUCAAUCCAACAGAUGGAUUAUAUUCUGUUUUCUUUUUAUAAUUGUUAUAAUUUGAAAUGUCAAUUUUUUUUGGAAAUCCAAUGUUUUUGUAUGUAAUAUUUAAUUUAGAUGGAUUACACUUGGUUGGUGUGGGUUUAUAUGAUAUUUGGAAUAUGAUGUUACAAGUUAAAGUUUUUUGAUAGUUGAUAAUGAA